RNAcentral lists this non-coding RNA (29 nucleotides) under Mus musculus (house mouse). The record is from RNAcentral. Lineage: Eukaryota; Metazoa; Chordata; Mammalia; Rodentia; Muridae.
UGUUCAGAGACCUACUUCCUACUUCCUGG